GGAAAGAUGGCUGAGCGGUUUAAAGCGUUGAUCUUGAAAAUCAAUCAUCAGUUUUGAUGUCGUGGGUUCGAAUCCCACUCUUUCCG
Molecule: transfer RNA, 86 nt
Filed under: Niabella sp.
Lineage: Bacteria; Pseudomonadati; Bacteroidota; Chitinophagia; Chitinophagales; Chitinophagaceae
Description: tRNA-Ser
Rfam family: tRNA
About the family: Transfer RNA (tRNA) molecules are approximately 80 nucleotides in length. Their secondary structure includes four short double-helical elements and three loops (D, anti-codon, and T loops).
Source: RNAcentral